UAUACACCUAGGCGUUGAAUUGCUGGGUUAUAGGGUGGGGGGAUGUGCUGCAUUUUAGCAGAUAUGGCCAGUUUCCUGAAGUGGUUGUACCAAUGUACACUCCCAUCGGCACAGUAUGAGACUUCUGGUUUCA
Sapajus apella (tufted capuchin) is the source of this 133-nucleotide long non-coding RNA. RefSeq lists it as uncharacterized. Lineage: Eukaryota; Metazoa; Chordata; Mammalia; Primates; Cebidae. The record is from RefSeq and is a predicted model, not a curated record. The transcript has 3 exons.